Molecule: ribosomal RNA, 1408 nt
Filed under: uncultured bacterium
Lineage: Bacteria
Description: bacterial SSU rRNA
Rfam family: Bacterial small subunit ribosomal RNA
Source: RNAcentral
AUGAACGCUGGCGGCGUGCUUAACACAUGCAAGUCGAACGAACCUUCGGGUUAGUGGCGGACGGGUGAGUAACGCGUGAGAAUCUGCCCUCAGGAGGGGGACAACAGCUGGAAACGGCUGCUAAUACCCCAUAUGCCGCGAGGUGAAAUGAAUUUCGCCUGAGGAUGAGCUCGCGUCUGAUUAGCUAGUUGGUGUAGGUAAUGGCUCACCAAGGCAUCGAUCAGUAGCUGGUCUGAGAGGAUGAUCAGCCACACUGGGACUGAGACACGGCCCAGACUCCUACGGGAGGCAGCAGUGGGGAAUUUUCCGCAAUGGGCGAAAGCCUGACGGAGCAACGCCGCGUGAGGGAUGAAGGCCUCUGGGCUGUAAACCUCUUUUAUCAAGGAAGAAGAUCUGACGGUACUUGAUGAAUAAGCCACGGCUAAUUCCGUGCCAGCAGCCGCGGUAAUACGGGAGUGGCAAGCGUUAUCCGGAAUUAUUGGGCGUAAAGCGUCCGCAGGCGGCCCCUCAAGUCUGCUGUUAAAAAGUGGAGCUUAACUCCAUCAUGGCAGUGGAAACUGUUGGGCUUGAGUGUGGUAGGGGCAGAGGGAAUUCCCGGUGUAGCGGUGAAGUGCGUAGAUAUCGGGAAGAACACCAGUGGCGAAAGCGCUCUGCUGGGCCAUCACUGACGCUCAUGGACGAAAGCCAGGGGAGCGAAAGGGAUUAGAUACCCCUGUAGUCCUGGCCGUAAACGAUGAACACUAGGUGUAGGGGGAAUCGACCCCCUCGGUGUCGUAGCCAACGCGUUAAGUGUUCCGCCUGGGGAGUACGCACGCAAGUGUGAAACUCAAAGGAAUUGACGGGGGCCCGCACAAGCGGUGGAGUAUGUGGUUUAAUUCGAUGCAACGCGAAGAACCUUACCAGGGUUUGACAUCCUGCGAAUCUCUUGGAAACGAGAGAGUGCCUUCGGGAACGCAGUGACAGGUGGUGCAUGGCUGUCGUCAGCUCGUGUCGUGAGAUGUUGGGUUAAGUCCCGCAACGAGCACAACCCACGUCUUUAGUUGCCAGCAUUCAGUUGGGCACUCUAGAGAGACCGCCGGUGAUAAACCGGAGGAAGGUGUGGAUGACGUCAAGUCAUCAUGCCCCUUACAUCCUGGGCUACACACGUACUACAAUGCUACGGACAAAGGGCAGCAAGUUCGCGAGGACAAGCAAAUCCCAUAAACCGUGGCUCAGUUCAGAUCGUAGGCUGCAACUCGCCUACGUGAAGGAGGAAUCGCUAGUAAUCGCAGGUCAGCAUACUGCGGUGAAUACGUUCCCGGGCCUUGUACACACCGCCCGUCACACCAUGGAAGUUGGCCACGCCCGAAGCCGUUACUCCAACCCUUGUGGAGGAGGACGUCGAAGGUGGGGCUGAUGACUGGGGUGA